RNAcentral lists this unclassified non-coding RNA (1800 nucleotides) under Hevea brasiliensis (rubber tree). Lineage: Eukaryota; Viridiplantae; Streptophyta; Magnoliopsida; Malpighiales; Euphorbiaceae. The record is from RNAcentral.
UGACUGGAAUAUGAUUACUAAUCUCACAUAAAAUUCUCCCAUUACAGGGAUUUCUGAUGGUGGACUUAAACAUUUAUUACAAAAUUUAAAGUCAUAUUAGCUCAGUAAAACAUUGAACUCACCAAAACUUUCCAAGGUUUGCUUCUAAUAUGAGCAACUCAUGCUUCUAUCAUUUCAACUGACAUUGUGAUAUGAAUCAACAAUUGCAUCUGCAAGGUAUUCACAUUUGGCCAAAUUCAAUCCAGCCAGGGAAAUCCUUCCAUCCUUUGUCAUGUAAACAUGCCACUUAUUGGUCAUAUUCUCGCUCUGAGCUUUGUUCAAUCCUGUGAAGGAGAACAUGCCAAUCUGCUUUAAUAUAAAAGACCAAUCCUUCCCACUCUUAUCUUUUGCAGAAAGACUAUCAAAUAAUUUCUGUCUAACACCUUUUAUCCUUCCAGCCAUCAUGUCCAUCUCUGCUUUCCAUUCAUCGAAGAGAGUUGGAUCCCCAACAACAUUGGCAACAAUCCUAGCCCCAUGUACAGGAGGAUUUGAGUACAUUGGUCGUGCAAGCCUUUUCAGCUGGCUCUUAACCCUUGCUGCGGCAUCUACUGAUGAGCAGAUGACAUUGAUUGCCCCAAUUCUUUCUGCAUAUAGACCCAAGUUUUUACUGUAUGACUGAGCUACCAGAAGCUCCAUUCCACGUGCAGCAAACAACCUCACUGAUGCUGCAUCUGCAUCAAGGCUUCCACUAGCAAAUCCCUGGUAUGCAACAUCAAAAAAUGGAAUGUGGUUCUUCUCUUGAAUGACAUCGGCAAUUUUUUCCCACUGUUCAGGGGUUGGAUCUAUACCAGUUGGGUUGUGAGCACAGCCAUGAAGCAAAAUAAAUGAUCCUUCAGGGGCUGCCUUUAGGUCUGCUAUCAUUCCCUCAAAAUCCAACCCAACUGUUUUGGGAUCAUAGUAUCUGUACUCAGACCAAGGGACUCUAGCAUCAUUGAAAAUAUUCUUGUGAUUACCCCAAGUUGGAGAUGAUAUCAGGACUUUUGCCCCUGGAAAAUAUCGCUCAAUGAGAGCCGCAGCUAAACGAAGAGAACCAGUGCCUGAAAGACCUUGGACUGUUGCAACUCUUUGUUGCUUUAUCACUGUGUUGUCUGCUCCAAGUAAUAACUCUGCAGUCACCUUAUUGAAUGCAGCCAAACCUUCUAUGGGAAGAUACUCUUUAUAUUCACCCCUCUCGAGCAUAAGAUUCUCAGCCUUCUUAACAACAUUAAGAACAUAAGGCUGUAGCUCUUCAGUUCGGUAGGCCCCAACUCCAAGAUUGAGUUUCUUUUCAUCAUUGUCUGCUUUAAAAGCUUCAGAAACUCCAAGAAUUGGAUCAGGGGGGGCCAUUGUUAUACCCUCAAAACGAGAAACAUUGACUGCAACAGCCAUAGAUAUCCUGCCUGAAGACUUAGUGUUUAUAAAGGGAUUGGAUUUCUCCUUGUGAAACCACGCAGUCAAAUUGCCACUUCCAAGCCUCACCUUUCCCUUGAGAGUGUCAUGCAUAGAAAGCGAAGCAGAAGGAGAAGCGGAAGCUAAAGAAAGCAUUGAAGAAGCCAUAUCCGAAUCAAAUUGACACAGUUGAGCUGAGAGCAAUUAGAUUUUGUAUCCAAGUUUGGGUGAUCUGUGAAAAUUGGUGAUUAGGAUUGAGGAGUCAAGAAAUGAAGAAUGAUGUAAUGGAGUGAACUAAUUUAACCUGAGAACGGUUGAAAUUGAGAUGGGAUGAGACCGAGGAAAUAAGAAGGUUCAGUGGGCGAUGGCUCCAAUGGGUUAAGUUCGUUAAAG